This 253-nucleotide ribosomal RNA is filed under the name uncultured bacterium. RNAcentral describes it as "partial 16S ribosomal RNA". It matches the Rfam family "Bacterial small subunit ribosomal RNA", at positions 524 to 776 of the family's 1533-position model. The record is from RNAcentral.
AACGUAGGACGCAAGCGUUAUCCGGAGUACUGGGCGUAAAGCGCGGGCAGGCGGUUGUCUAAGUCUGAUGUGAAAGCGCUUGGCUCAACCAAGCGAUGCCAUUGGAAACUGGGCAACUGGAGUCUGGGCAGAGGUAGGCGGAAUUCCACGUGUAGCGGUGAAAUGCGUAGAGAUGUGGAGGAACACCAGUGGCGAAGGCGACUCUUUGGCCUGUAACUGACGCUGAGGCGCGAAAGCGUGGGGAGCAAACAGG